CCUACGGGGGGCAGCAGUGGGGGAUAUUGCACAAUGGGGGAAACCCUGAUGCAGCGACGCCGCGUGGGCGAAGAAGUAUUUCGGUAUGUAACGCCCUAUCAGCAGGGAAGAAGAAAUGACGGUACCUGAGUAGAAGCACCGGCUAAAUACGUGCCAGCACCCGCGGUAAUACGUCUGGGGCAAGCGUUAUCCGGAUUUACUUGGUGUAAAGGGAGAGCAGGCGGCACGGCAAGCCUGAUGUGAAAGCCCGCGGGCAAACCGCGGGAGUGCAUUGGUUACUACCGGGCUGGAGUGCCGGAGAGGUAAGCGGAAUUCCUAGUGUAGCGGUGAAAUGCGUAGAUAUUAGGAGGAACACCAGUGGCGAAGGCGGCCUACUGGACGGUGACUGACGCUGAGGCUCGAAAGCGUGGGGAGCAAACAGGAUUAGAUACCCUGGUAGUC
This 441-nucleotide ribosomal RNA is filed under the name uncultured bacterium. RNAcentral's name for it is "partial 16S ribosomal RNA". It matches the Rfam family "Bacterial small subunit ribosomal RNA", at positions 338 to 795 of the family's 1533-position model. The record is from RNAcentral.